CAAAAUUUAAUCAAUUUGACUCUUCAAUAGUCAAAACAAGACAAGAUGGAGGGAUAUUUUUAUAAAUAUGAAAACAGUAUAUUAAUUAAAUAAUCUAUCAUAGUAAUUAAUUAUUAAGUGACCGAUUACUAGAAUCAUGUUUUCAUCUGAUUAUUGUUGGAUGAAAUAAGUGUGCAACGUGAGCCAUGUGAAUGAUUUCACUAUCCACCUACUCUUCUUGGAUUCCAAUGAUCGCCAAGUAGGAAGUAGGCCUACACAAUCUUGGUCUGAAACAAGACAAUUCACAAGACCGUCCCUUAUUUGCCUGCUAGCCCAGGAAAAUAGACUCUACUACUGAUGAUUAUGAGUGCACAAAUUGACCAACAAACAAAAUUACAGGAACCCCUGAUCUUGAUAUAUUCAAGCCAUUUUAGUUUAAACCAAUUCAAAGGGUCUUUUUUUUUUUUUUUUUUGCUAUUUUGAUUCAAAGGGUCUUCUCUGUUAUGCAAAUUCUUGCUGUUAAUUCACUGCGUCAAUCACAAUGGAGACACAGUGACUCCAAUGCUUUGCAAUGAUAGUGCACAAUUUAAGGAACAAGCUGAGCAAACACACAAAAUGAGCUCCAGGCUGCUAUGACAAGGGGAAUUUUAUUGCCUAAUGCUUUACUCGCAUCAGGUAUUCUCACCCUUCUGUUUUUUUAAAUUGUUGAUUGUAUUUUUCACAAGUACAGCAAACACAUGAGUUGUUUUAAUUCUGCUACACUUUGUUCUUUCUUGAUAUCCAAUUAUGCAUAAUUUUGGCUACCAAUGCGUGCAUUAGACAUUCUUCCUGUUUCAUGCUCAUUCAGCAUCCAUGGUUAGGCUAUAAUAGGAUAUUUCUUUUAUGUUGAUUAUAAUCCUCAUUUCCACCAUACAUGCCACACCUCACACGUAUUUUAUCCGUAUGAAAGCUGGGGAUUGUAUUGUACGCAGACAAAGGAGAAUAGUGAGACGUACAUUGGUAAUAGAAUUCCGUUAUGAAGAUGCAGGAAGGGUAUGGAAGAAAAGUGAAGAUACUGGACUAUAAGGAUGAGGAAUUUGACGAAGAUGAGUUAUUCGAGAGAACAAUAG
Molecule: long non-coding RNA, 1088 nt
Filed under: Daucus carota (carrot)
Lineage: Eukaryota; Viridiplantae; Streptophyta; Magnoliopsida; Apiales; Apiaceae
Description: long non-coding RNA (DCAR_LNC001343)
Source: RNAcentral